GACGAACGCUGGCGGCGUGCCUAAUACAUGCAAGUCGAACGCAUUUUCUUUCACCGUAGCUUGCUACACCGAAAGAAAAUGAGUGGCGAACGGGUGAGUAACACGUGGGUAACCUGCCCAUCAGCGGGGGAUAACACUUGGAAACAGGUGCUAAUACCGCAUAAUUCCAUUUACCGCAUGGUAGAUGGAUGAAAGGCGCUUUUGCGUCACUGAUGGAUGGACCCGCGGUGCAUUAGCUAGUUGGUGGGGUAACGGCCUACCAAGGCUGCGAUGCAUAGCCGACCUGAGAGGGUGAUCGGCCGCACUGGGACUGAGACACGGCCCAGACUCCUACGGGAGGCAGCAGUAGGGAAUCUUCGGCAAUGGACGCAAGUCUGACCGAGCAACGCCGCGUGAGUGAAGAAGGUUUUCGGAUCGUAAAACUCUGUUGUUAGAGAAGAACAAGGAUGAGAGUGGAAAGUUCAUCCCUUGACGGUAUCUAACCAGAAAGCCACGGCUAACUACGUG
RNAcentral lists this ribosomal RNA (507 nucleotides) under uncultured bacterium. Its description in RNAcentral is "partial 16S ribosomal RNA". It matches the Rfam family "Bacterial small subunit ribosomal RNA", at positions 28 to 507 of the family's 1533-position model. The record is from RNAcentral.